UUAAAACACCGGUUCCCGUACGAGCACCACAGUUAAGCAACGCAGAGACUGGACAGUACCUAUAUGCGUGACCGCUUGGGAAUACCUGAUGUUGUAAG
This is a non-coding RNA of Acanthosepion pharaonis, 98 nucleotides long. Lineage: Eukaryota; Metazoa; Mollusca; Cephalopoda; Sepiida; Sepiidae. The record is from the annotation of a GenBank genome assembly.